AGCUUUGCGCAGUGGCAGUAUCGUAGCCAAUGAGGUUUAUCCGAGGCGCGAUUAUUGCUAAUAAACUUAUCAUCCCUUAGACUCAACACUGAGCAAAUGAACAAUGAUCAAACGGGAAAGGUCUGCUCUCUCAUAAAAUGUAGGAGC
Small nuclear RNA from Rattus norvegicus (Norway rat), 147 nucleotides. Ensembl annotates it as U4 spliceosomal RNA. Lineage: Eukaryota; Metazoa; Chordata; Mammalia; Rodentia; Muridae. The record is from Ensembl.